GACGAACGCUGGCGGCGUGCCUAAUACAUGCAAGUCGAGCGCAGGAAAUCGACGGAACCCUUCGGGGGGAAGUCGACGGAAUGAGCGGCGGACGGGUGAGUAACACGUAAAGAACCUGCCCUCAGGUCUGGGGUAACCACGAGAAAUCGGGGCUAAUACCGGAUGGGUCAUCGGACCGCAUGGCCCGAGGAUGAAAGGCGCUUCGGCGUCGCCUGGGGAUGGCUUUGCGGUGCAUUAGCUAGUUGGUGGGGUAUGGCCCACCAAGGCGACGAUGCAUAGCCGACCUGAGAGGGUGAUCGGCCACACUGGGACUGAGACACGGCCCAGACUCCUACGGGAGGCAGCAGUAGGGAAUCUUCCACAAUGGACGAAAGUCUGAUGGAGCAACGCCGCGUGAACGAUGAAGGCCUUCGGGUCGUAAAGUUCUGUUGUAAGGGAAGAACAAGUGCCGCAGGCGAUGGCGGCACCUUGACGGUACCUUGCGAGAAAGCCACGGCUAACUACGUGCCAGCCGCCGCAGUAA
This 523-nucleotide ribosomal RNA is filed under the name uncultured bacterium. RNAcentral's name for it is "partial 16S ribosomal RNA". It matches the Rfam family "Bacterial small subunit ribosomal RNA", at positions 28 to 523 of the family's 1533-position model. The record is from RNAcentral.